ACUAAAACACAAAUCCCCUCUUCCCAGGAGCAUAAAGUCUUUUUCCAAUUUUGCAGCUUCUGGAAACAUACAAGUAUUCCUGAAAGACGAAGGCACUUGUCUAGCCAGCCAGUUUAGUGGAAUCAAGCCUGGGUAUGAAUGAGCUCCAGCUGUCAUAACGCCUCUUCACGUGCAUCCGUCAUGGAGCAAGAACAGCCCUUCCUCCUGCUUCUCCUCUUCAGCCUACUCAACAAGAAGACAACAAGGACGAUGGCCUUACGAUGUUCCACUUCC
This 273-nucleotide long non-coding RNA is filed under the name Homo sapiens (human). RNAcentral's name for it is "HSALNT0088220". Lineage: Eukaryota; Metazoa; Chordata; Mammalia; Primates; Hominidae. The record is from RNAcentral.